AUCUGAAGGAAGUGAGGUCACACUAGCUAUAAGCUGUGCGACUUGGAAAAUAAAUGGAUUGAAUAAGCUUAAUUUUGCAAUCAACUGAAAAAUUAUUUCCUUUUAUUUUUCUGUGAUAUUUUUCGUAUAUUUCUGUGUGAUGCAUGUACAGCUGUUGUAUUUAAAACUUCGAUUAUCGAAUCUUUCAAGCCUCAAAACAAAGUUGCAUCUGAUUUUCUGAUGAUAGAGAAUUGAAUUAAAAUGGAUCUUAAUUUCUCACCAUGAAUCUUAAUUCUCAGCUGCGGGUCCUUGAUCAAUGAACCAAUCUGGACAAGGUGAUACGAUGAGUCAAGAUGAAUCAAAAUGGACGUGCAGUAUGUGUACUUUCGAAAAUUGGCCAAAAUCUAUUAAAUGUACAAUAUGUCGUUCCCCGAAACAAUCACAAAUUAUUACUCAAGACAAGCCACAAGACAUAUACAUGAUGGCUCCACUUAUUUCUGAAACUUCCAGCCCACCAGCAGCACAAGGUAGCAGUGCUUCAUCUAACCCCCAUAAUAAAUGGUCAUGCCCUACAUGCACAUACAUGAACUGGCCCCGUUCUACCAAGUGUACACAAUGUGCCACAAAAAGGAAAACUAGCCCCCCACCUGAGCCUUCAAAUAACACUUCUUCACAUGAUCAAUCAAACAAUGUUUCAACAGAUUCCACCACAGCAUGUGUUCUCUCUGACAACUAUUACAAUGACAGAAAUAAAUCUUGGAGUCGCUCAAUCAAAUGGACUUGUUCAACGUGUACUUAUGAAAAUUGGCCCAAGUCUAUUAAAUGUGUUUUGUGCCACACCCCUCGUCCCAAAGUGGAUCAGUCCUGUCAGACACUAGCUGAAAAUGAUGACAGCAGGUCUCGGCAACGUGUCAAUCGAUGUGAUGUACAAAGUUCUCUCUAUUCUUCUGUUAAUUGUUUAACUAUACGAAGGAAUGAUCAUUUACCAUCGGAAACGACUGAAAUUCAGGUAUCAACACCUUUAGCAUGUGCUAGUGAUAUUUCCAGAACUCCUAAUAACUACAUAGAAGAAUGCCGUCUCAGAAAUUCAAGACGAAACAAUCGUGAAGUGGAUUGGACUUGGUUAAAUGCUUGCAUAGGAGUUGUAGAUGGUGAUGCAGAGCCUGUGAUUGAAUAUUUAUCUGUGGGUGGGGAUCCUGGUAGGCAGCUGAAUGCAAAUGAAGUUGCUUUGCUUAAAAGACCUUCUGCAUUUGAUGCUGGAUACACUCUCGUGCAUUUAGCAAUUCGAUUUCAGCGUGAAGAUCUGUUGACAUUGUUAUUAUCUCAUACCGAAAUGACAAGACCAGCUGCUAAGAGAGUUCCAGCAGAUAUAAGUCGGACAUUAGCCUCAGACAUUCGCCACAUGAUAGCGGCUUCCUUGAAGCAAAGAAGAGGAGAAUUUCCUUGUUACUUUGUGACAGAAUGUGUUACUUUUUCCCUGCCCGCUGAAAUUGAAGACUUCAAUCCUAUAGUACAAGAAAAAUUAUUUGAUGAUCUUCUUGAUCGUGAUGCUCAGAAAGAAUUGGAAGAAGAAUCACCCAUUAUCAAUUGGAGCUUAGAACUUACAGAACGCUUGGGUUCAAGAUUAUAUGCUCUUUGGAAUCGAAGUGCAGGUGACUGUCUUCUAGAUUCUGCUCUCCAAGCAACAUGGGGCGUAUUUGAUCGAGACAACACACUCAGGCGCGCUUUGGGAGAAAGUUUAUGUGAGGCAGCUGCAGUGUUAUAUCCCCGGUGGAAAGAAGCAGAGACUCUCCAAGCAAAUCUUCUUCAGUUCACCCUCGAUGACACCCAGUGGCAAGAAGAUUGGGCUAUGUUAUUAUCCCUGGCCUCCCAGCCUGGCUCAGCUCUUGAACAAAUGCACAUCUUUACUUUGGCACACAUAUUACGAAGACCCAUUAUUGUUUAUGGUGUCAAAUAUGUCAAAAGCUUCAGGGGAGAAGCCCUUGGCUAUGCAAGAUUUGAAGGAAUCUACUUACCUUUGCUGUGGGAGCCAACGUUUUGCUGGAAGUCUCCUAUUGCUCUGGGUUAUACAAGAGGCCACUUUACAGCACUUGUUGCUAUGGAGCCAGAUUCAGAGGAUACACUGGGAGCUGGCGCCAAUACCCGGACAGGAGAUGAUCUUAGAGUGAUAUUUUUACCUUUAAUGACAAUGGAUCAUCAAAGACUUCCGGUGCAUUUCUUGACUCAGGAGGAGUUGGGACGUGAAGAAGAAAUCAUGAAGCAGUGGCUUGACUGUUGUGUGACUGAGGGUGGUAUUUUGGUGGCACAACAGAAGAUCCUGAAGCGACCUUAUCUUGUGGCACAAAUGAUUGAAGAGUGGCUGGCUUUCUACCGAGGCCUUAUGCGGCGGCCUACUAUCCAUCACUCCUCCCCAGAAUCUCACACUCAGGUCUAUUCAAGUGAUGGAGAUUCUGACCAGGAGUAAAAUGGAAUCUUCAUUAAGAAAUGAAACAUACUGAAAAGACAAGGUAAGAAGACUCAAUGAAGUGCAACGGAAGAAAACUUAAAACUUCCCUACAUACAAAAUAUGAGGAUCCAAAAAGUGGAGGGGCAUAGAUGGAAAUUGUAAAUACUGCAUUUCAUGUUGGUUCGUCUGCGAGUGACUAUCCCGUCCAAGAAGGGGGACUAUUUUGUGUCAUAGCUUCACCCUGUACAUUUCCAACAUAGUGGACAGAUUCAGCUAUUUUCUCUAAUCCUGUACAGAUAGCAAAGUGUGUAUUUAUUCAAAUCUUAACUAGCUCCAUAUUUAUUGGACAUUCAAUAGAGAUCUUAUGAAUGGAUUCUUGUACAUAGUGAUGGACAUUUGUGCAGUAGAUUGUAAUUAAAAUGGAAUGAGAGUUUUA
RNA transcript from Argiope bruennichi, 2861 nucleotides. It is a transcript of the gene named ubiquitin thioesterase zranb1-B-like, with no coding region annotated. The record is from RefSeq and is a predicted model, not a curated record. The transcript is spliced from 14 exons. NCBI's taxonomy places the organism in Eukaryota, Metazoa, Arthropoda, Arachnida, Araneae, Araneidae.